RNAcentral lists this long non-coding RNA (330 nucleotides) under Homo sapiens (human). The record is from RNAcentral. Lineage: Eukaryota; Metazoa; Chordata; Mammalia; Primates; Hominidae.
AGUUCUAUAAGAGAGCGUGUGCCGAAGGCCUCGGCCUUUCACAUUCGGGAAGCGUCGGGAUUAGGUGAAAGUACGUAGUUGUCUUUCGAAGCUGAGCUGAACACAUUACGAUGGAUGAUGGAAACAUAAGACUAUCAAGAAAUCCAAGUGGUAAUGGGCGAAGUUUAUUCAGCAUCCGGCAAUGGACUUAUCGUAGUUGGGGAAACGGGUGUUCCGAAUAAUAUCCUGGAAGUUAUCAGGACACCUAUUUUAAAUAUAGGCCUGAAUUUUGUAAAGUAAUAUUUAAGGUGGUCCGUGAUAAUUAAAUAAAAUGCUUAAUUCAUGUGGCUA